RNAcentral lists this long non-coding RNA (25719 nucleotides) under Marmota monax (woodchuck). The stretch from base 10580 to 10648 matches the Rfam family "tRNA". The record is from RNAcentral. Lineage: Eukaryota; Metazoa; Chordata; Mammalia; Rodentia; Sciuridae.
GUACCACAGUAAGUCCUGACCAAAAUGCAGGGAGAACUGAUUCUUUUUAUUAGAUUAUUGUAACAAACCAGGUCCUACUACCAUAGAAGUUUCAGUAACUGUUAAGUAAAACACUCAGUUUUUGUAGAAGUCUUAAGUUCAUCUAAUCUAAUGAAUGGAUUGUUAAUCAAACUUUUGAAGAGGUACCAUUUCAACCUUAAACUUUUAAUGAUUAUUUUAUUAAUUCAUUAACUUCAAAAAUCCAUAUUACCUUUCAAAUAGUUUUAUAAUUAACGCAGGCAAAUGCCCAAGAAAAUACACUAAUCUUAUUCAACAUCUUCAAAUCUUCAAAUGUUGUCCUGAGAUCUAAGAGUAGGACAUUCAAACCAUAGAUCCUAAAAUUAUCAGAUCAGUUCUUUGAUGCUGGAACAUGUUGACCUUAAGAGACAUUGUAGUGAAUUGAGAGUAGGGGGAGAAAAUGUUUGGUGAAAUAUCAAGACUAGACACAUAGGAGCAAAUUACAGAAAGGAAGAAGUAUUAAGGAUGAGGAAGAGCUGAGCCCCAGCCUAUCUUAGGAUGUCAACCAAGAAGAGCUUUGGAACAUGACCUCAUUGCAUCCUGGAGUUGUUAGAGCAACUGGGCCAAGGAUGGUGAGCCCCAGGCAUGGUAAGUUCUGCUUAUCGUUCUAAGAAAAAUUAUCUCCUUUCUUACUUGUUGUACAUGUCUAUCACAAGUAUUAUCUAGUAAUUCAUCUGUCUUUUUAAGCUUCUUGAGGCAAGCAUUGUGUCUUAUAGCCACCCAUGCCACCACUCAUCAGUGCCUGGCAUGGAGUAAUAUGCUUAAAAAGGUUUGUUAAAUAAAUGAAUACAUGAGUUUUUACAAUACUUGAGUCACAAUACCUGAAGUUCAGUGUUAACAAAUGAGGUAAGUGUAUCUUCAAAUAUAGUUCAGUUCCUGUUAUUUAAAUCAUAAACAAUAUACAAUUUGUUACUUGAUUAAUGCUUCUAAAUAAACACAUUGAAAAACACUAAUUCAAGAACAGCAAAUGCAAAAUAAUGUUCCCUUAUUUGGAGAAUGAUUUUCAAACGGAACAAUACUCAGCAUUUUGGGGGGAGGAGAGUGGGGGGUUGUUAUGGGGGAUUGAACCCGGGGCACUUUGCCACUAAAACAUAUCACCCAACACUCAGCAUUUUUAAUUGCUCAGUUUGGGACUAGUUCUGCUUUCUUAUCUUUGCUAACCUCACAUUUGUUGAUGGCACACACUCUGUAGUCAUCCCAGAGCAUUAAAUUCACUUUUAAGCAAAAUGUGAUGCCUCCCCUCUGACAAUUUUCUAUCCCAGUUUCUCCCACAACCAGCUCCACCAUGCUCAUGAAUAUUGUCUUUCACCUUUACUGUUUGACGAAACAUUAAUAAUAACGCCACUAUUGAUUGGCCUUUAUAAUUCAUGAAACAUGACAAGAAAUGGUAGAGUAUUUAAUUUUAUAGCAAUAUUUGAAAAUAACUGAAGUUUAGAAAACUUAGAUAAAUUGCCCAUGUCAAAGUUACUGCCACUGUUAUGUACACAGAACUCAAAAGAGGGAGAAACAGAUGUAGUAUUGGCCAGUGAUGGCACAUUGGUAAUUGUCAACUCCACAGGAAUACAUGAGAUACCUAACUCAGGAAGAGCACAUGGAACAAGUGUAAAGGGUGCCAAAUCCUGGGUGAAUAAGAAUGGGAAGGGUCAGGAUGAAGAACCAGAGAGUGAGAGCAACCGGAAAGUAACAUUAAGAUUUUAAAAACCAGAUACCAGCUCAAGAGGUGAAUCUUUACCCUCCUUCUGCUAAUCCUUCUUCUAAGAGGAUGGACUUUCCUUUUCUUUCUUAUCUGUUUUUCUCAACUCCUAUACAAAAUAUGCCAUUUAUAAAAACUGAAGCUGAAGAAGGCAUUCAUAUUUUUUUUUAAGUUUUCUCUCUUUUUUUUCAUUUGUUGAUGGACCUUUAUUUUAUUUAUAUAUGGUGCUGAGAAUUGAACCUAGGGCCUCACACAUGCUAGACAAGCUCUCUACCACUGAGCUACAGCCCCAGCCCAUGUUGUUUUUUAAAUCCAACAUUACAUGCUGAGAGAAUAUUUCAUUUUUAUUUCAUGUUGUCUUAGGUCAAUGUGCAAGUUAUUGGGCUACUCACAAGUCUGAGUGACAUUCCUGAGAACUUACUGUAAAACAAAGAAUCUUACUGUAGACAUAGUGACAAUGUGGAAAUCCUUUGUGGUUUGACUGGGUUGCUAAUCAGAAUCUGCAAUUUUGAAAAUUUUCUUUUGGAAUUGUCAUUAUGUAUACAUAAUUAAAAGUCAUUUCAAUCAGCUUGCAUUUUUGAAUGAAAUGAAAAAUUAUAUUUUCAAAUACCCUUCCAAAACUACAUUCAACUUUUUAAAUUAUGAAUUUUCUCAUUCAUUUAAUAUUUUAUCUGAUUAAAAUUCUGAGUAAUUCAUACAUAGGCUAAUUUUAAAUUGACUUAUUUUACAUUUUUGAGGAAAUAAUUUAAGAGUAUACACACAAUUUCAAAGGUAAUUUUUAUGUGAGGGUAUAAACAUUAUAAAAAUUUGGAGUGAAUCUAUACCUUUGGGAAGAUUUCCAUGGCAAGGUAGAAUCCAUCCCUCAUGGUCUCCCUCAUGCUGCUGAUCAUUCUUACAUAUUCCCUAAAGCAGAACCUCUACCUGCUAAGAAUACCUGCUAAGUUAGGUCUGGGUCCUUUCUUUAUUGGAAAGCAAUAAUAGUGCUUUCCAGUGAAAAUAUAUAGUAAUUCAGAUAAAUUCUAACUAGUCCUGAUUAUAUUACUUAUUGUAUUUCAUUACAAUUUUGUUUAUUUUACUUUUAUCUUUUAAAGUAUAAAAUAAUUUUAUUCCCAUGAAAAUUGCAGAGGAAUGAAUUUAUUUCUCCAGUGUUAGUCUAUAAUGCUUUCUUUUGUUUCUUAUCAGUGGUUGUUUCAAAAGAAACAAUUUUCAAAAGCCAUAAAAGUUCUUCCACAUAGUUGAGGUAAAAUAAAGAAAAAAUUCCUAGGCAGCAUUUUUAAAGCCUGAUAUGAGAUAUUUUGUCUACUUAAAACUAAGAAACAGCAAAAGUAAAAAAGAAAAAAAUAUAUAAAGUUCUUCUUAGUACACACCGCCAACAUGGUUCAGGUGGCUCAUGGAGGUUGGCUGAGUGAGGAAGAAGAACUCUUUUGAGGGUAAUGCCAGAAAGCUGGUAGAAACUGUAAAUGUUAUUGAUCAGAAUAGGACUUUUGUGAUUGGAUCUUUCACUAAUGCAAGGAGACAGGUCAUGCCUUUCAAACACAUGCAGCUCUCUGACUCCAUCAAGUUCCUAUACAGGACCUGCCAGAUGUACAUCCCACUUCAUCUGAUCAGGACAAGAAGGGUGGCCACAAGAUAGGUCAAGAAGAUUAAAGCUAGAGAGAGGAAAGUCAAAAUUACAGAUUUUGAUCACCUUAAAGCCUAGAAGACAAAGAAAAUAAGAAAUAAAAUAAUCAACAAUGAAACUAGGAAACUUCGAAGGGCCACUACUCUCCUGAAAGCUUUUCCCAAAAAAGUACCUGUCACUAGGUUGCAGCUAUAGCUGCUGUUAAAACUAGAAUUCCAGCAAAAGAGAUGACCCCUCCUUGCAAGAAGGAUCCAGCCAGANAUUUAUUAUGUAUCGAUAUGUAAUUGUUUAACAGGAUGUUACUAUAAGUUAAAUGAACUUAACUUUCCUUUGUCCUAUUCAGAGUACUUGCCUAGAAAUGACUUCUCUAAAUUUGCAAUUUCCAGAGUCUGCACUGAUUCUGUUCAUCUUUUAUAGGAUGGUCUGAUGCUCAUAAUUUUUCAGUCAAGCUGCAUACUUAUUCAUACUACAAACCUGUGUUGAGAACUUACUUCUCUAUCUGGCCAGGUACUGUGUUAGAUACAUAAUCCAGAAAUGCACUCUACCUUGCGCUGGAAAUCCCCUCUCCUCCCCCACAGAUCCCGGCUCCAUGUGUGAGGGUUCAUCUAUCUGGUCUUAUCCCUGAGGACUCAACUUAAGUGUCCCCAUGAGUGGUCCUGUGCACUGUCCCCACCAAGCUGUAGCAAGUCUUCUUCUCAACAGUACACACUUUGUGUAUCUCUAAUAAAGUCAUCAUUGCUUCAUGUAGAAUCCAUUUUCCUGAUGGGAUCCUUCACCCAAAUGUAAGCUGUUCAGGGCAGAAGGCUUCUGGACAGCAAUUGGAGAACAAUUCAGGUGUCAAUAUAGCUGGAUUUUCAGGUGCCAAGGAAAAGGGGAUGGGCCUAUUCUCUCUGACUAUCUAAAGAUUGCAUUUUAAUCCUAAAUUUAAAAUGCUUCAAACUUUGAAAAAAAUUAUAUCUAAGAGUUUAAAGUCACAAUUCCUUAUUUUUUUUAAUUUCAUGAGGAGAAAUUGCCUCUGAAGAGUUCUUUAACUUUGGGAAAGGAAAUGUUUAAUCAGCAAAAAUUUAAACAGAUAUUUCUGAGGAGGAAGUUACUUGAGGAAGCAGAAGGGCAACCAUGCAUGUGCACUGAGCAGGAAGUAGGUAAACAUCGGGCCUCUGAGUUAGAUCUUGUAAAAUCCAGGGACACAGUGAUUUGGGAGGGGUUCCUAGAGAUAUUUACUAGUAAUGAAGGAGAGCCUGAUGAGGAGUCUAUCUUCUUCCUAAUUAUAUUACUUUUAAUGCAAAACAACAAAUAGAAAGCAGAUUUCUCAAACACCCCAAAAGCUGAACUGCCUGGGGAAAAUGAUGCAUCUGCAAAUCAGCCUGGACUAGUUCUCAAAUACUUUGCACAAAUUAAUAAAUUAAAGUAGCGGCCAAGCAGGACAUAGCAGGUGAGAAAAAAAAUACGCAGAAACAGCCAGGAGAUAAGUUCCUGAUAAAAGCAUUCUUUUCAAAGAACAGCAAGAACCCAGACUGGAAGGUUGGUGUUGUCAAUUUAAGUCUGAUUCCUCUCAAGAAAAGAUGUGAUGAACAGAUAAGAGUAAUUUUAAUUAGCACUUUGGUUGUUCAUAAAGUAUUUCAAGACAUUUCAAAGCAGUUCUUUUAAACCUCUUAAAUGCUUAUACAUCCUGUUAAUUUAUGUUAUAAAAAGGAUGACUUAUUAAGCAAAUAUUGACAUCAAUCCAGACGAUUAUGGCAAACUUUGAAAUGCUGGAGUCCAAACCAAUAGAUUUUAUUUGUCCACACUACUAAUUAAGGAUUUGAAGCUAAAUUUAAAAGCAAAAACCUAUUACUCUUCAUAUGAUGUUUCAUUAGUUAUUAAGGAUUUAUGCAUUGUUACACAUUAAAAACAUAUAUACAUUGCAUUUGAAACAAAAAGAAAACUUUAAAGAGACUAUAAAGCAUGAUGAACCUCCUUGGUUAAUAAGCAAGGUACUCCCUGUUCACAAACAUUCAAGCCCAGGAGAGUCAGUCAUGAGCAGGUCACCAAAGGCUCUGACUCCUUGGGUCAGAGCCUGAGAAUCCCAACUCUGGCUAGGAACCAAAACAGAACUUUAUAGACAUAUACAGAAACAUAAACAAACACACAAACAAACCCCAAGACAUUGUGAACUAGAAGUUUGAGGUAGAGUUCUAUAGACAGCAGACACAAAACCUGGGUGACACUCUCCCAAAACUUAAUGCUAGAGCAUUUGGUAUGCUUUGCUGAUGACCUAAUCUAAGCUACAGCAAUGUCCCUAAAUUAAGAAUUAGUGUGUUAGCAAGUAUAAACUUAUAGAAUUAUUCUUGAACCCCGCUUCUUAAGUCAGACCUUGCAGGGUACUUUGACUUUUGCAUUUGUUAAAAGCAAUAUUGGAUGUUGUGUUAUUUCUGCCUACUCUAAAUGUGUUCACCACUUUUUAAGUGGGAAGCAUGUAGCAGAAAGGUUAGAACUUUUCCCUACAUCUGACAAAAAAUAAAUGACAAUUUAUAAUAUAAUUCAAUUCUCUUCAGUGGAUAACUAGAAAAUAAUAGCAUUCAUUUGGCUACCAUUCUUGGGCAUAUUUUAAAAUUCUUUACAUGACUUCUUAUGUUUAUUUGAUUUUUCCAGCCCAUAAUGUUGGUACAAUUUUCAUUUUACAUAUGAGGAAAUGAAGGACAAAGUGACUUUGUGAUCUCUCCAAGAUCACACAUGGCUAGUAAAUAUGGAGGCAGAAAUGAAAUUUAGUCAACCUGACUCCAAAGUCUUAACAAUAACAUGCUGUUUAUUUCUCUACCAUCUUUCCUAUAAUAAUAAUUUGUGGUAUUUUGUCUGUCAGAUGCUAUAAAUGACCUAAUUGUAGAGUUAAUCCUCCUCUAGACUCACAUGAAAAACAAAAUUCCUAGGGUAACCUUUUGGUCCAACAAUCUGUAACCAAGGUCUUCCCAGAGGAGGUCCUUCCCUCACCCACAAUUCCUAUCUUGACUUAGUGCCUCUUGGUUCAGGACCUCAGUGCUCUAAGACUUCCUAUCUCCAUUAGCACUCACAGAAUUUUACUCAGGCCUUUUCUCCAUGUACACAGUCAUUUGUUUUACAGAAAAAAUCAAAAUGUAUUUCAGCCACCCAUCUGUUGCUUAAAUCCCUUCUACAAUAUUCUUAUCAAAUGGUCUGGAAAUUUGAAAUCUCCAUGGUAGCUCAUUUCAUCUUUGGAUACCUUUAAAUCUAACUGUAGUUUUCUUUAGUUAUAACUUGUAAACUUAAUCUGGUUGUUGUUAUUUUGAGCACUUAAAAAUGAUGGAAUUUGUCUCUAGAAAAAAAAUGCAGACAUGUGCAAAAUGUUUCAUAAACAAUUUCUGAGGAUUGCAGAUACCUUAAAGCCUACGAAUGGUCUGUGGACCUUGGGCUGAGAAACUUCCAGUAAUAGCUCCUCAGAUGCUGUAAGGAAAUGCUUUUCUCUUCUAUAUUUGUGCAUUGUGUCCAAGUUCGUGGACUUCAGUUCUCGCCCCACUGAAUUACCUCUGUUUAGAUUUCAGCCACUUAUUUCAGCCAUGGAGAUCUUUCCUGAAAUCUGAUUCUAUGAUCUAAUCUAUUUACUUUCCUUCCUUAAAGUUGCUUUAGGGCUUUAUCAGCAUGCUCUAGGGCUUUUGCCAUAGCCACUGGCAAAGAUAUGGACCAGGAAAUGGCUAGGAACAGAACACUGCUGUUAGCAGCUAGCAACCAGUUUCCUAAAGGAUAUAUUUAUUACUCUGGGUAAGUGGGAUGUGCCACUACAUUUUUUUGGCAAAGAUCAUACAAUGAAAAUAAAGUGAAUACCAAGGAAGUGUGCAUAACAAACAGAAUAUAAUCAUAUACAGUUAACCUUAUCCCCUUUAGAGAACUGCUUUUUUUUUUUUUCUGAUUUCUUCUGUUGGGUUAGUUAAGGAAUUGGACUAACAACACAGGGAAUUUGAAAACACAUGAGAGCCACAUGAUUGAAAGGCUAAGUACUGAUUGCAACAUUUCCUUUUAUAGUUUAGUGUAUGACCUUAGGAAACCCACACAUGUUCCAGGUCUAGAGACUUAAAAAAUUAUAAUCCUCCUAAAUAAAUAGUGUGGCUACCCAAUGGCAAGCUCUUUGGCUUAAAGAAUUCUCAUGGCCACUAACUUAAAUGCCAUGUUUAGUCUACAUUUUUAAAAAGAGUUUAAUUUGCUUAUUUGCUUGCUUGUUUUUAUUUUCUGCAGGGGAGGGGGCAAGGACAGUAUCAGAGAUUGGACCCAGGAGCACUUAACCACUGAGCCCCAUCUCCAGCCCUUUUUAUUUUUUAUUUUGAGAUAGGUUCUGGCUAAAUUGCUUAUGGCCUCUUUAAGUGUCUGAGGCUGGCUUUGAAUUUAUAAUCCUCCUGCCUUCCACACUGUUGGGAUUACAAGUGUGCGUCACCAUGCUCAGAAUAGUUUCUUUGCUUUUAAGAAAACAUUUUCAUGCUUUAAAGUAGCUUUUACUUCUGGUAUUCUAGAGUUUUGUGGACAGUUCACCUUGACCGUGUUCAGGUACUUGGUAGAUUUUAUAAAUCAGGUCACAUGCUUCUGGUGUUUCAGAACUAAGAGUUGCAACGAAGCUAGUAUUGUACAGCAGAAAAAAAUUGAAAAAGAUCAGUCAGAGGCUUCUAGGUCUGUUAUUAACUACAUUAGUGAUCAUGAACAAUUAAACCACCCUUUCUGGGGCUCUUGUCACAAGGAAAAGAGGGAGGGAGCUAGGUUACCUCUCUGAGAUCUCCUUUAAUUUUCAAAACUCUGUAGUUCUAAUUUUAAUAAAUUAAAAGGACACACUAAACCAUAAGAAAUAAUAAAUAGUAUCUAGAUUCCUUUCUGUGCUUUAAACUUCAAGACUAAAAUAUUAUUUUAAUACACAAGUGCUAUCAUACAGCAUAUUUUCACCCGAUUAGCAAUUCAUAGUAGAUCACAGGACAUAAUCCCUCUAAUCCAGUGUUUCCUCAAUGUGGUUUUACAUUGGAAACACCAAGGGAAUUUUAAAACUGCUUUAGCCUAGAUCUUGCCACCAAAUAUUCUGAUUUAAUUGGUGAGAGGUGAGCCAGAUGGACCAGAAAGAGUACUAUAACUUCUCUAGGACCAAACAACUGCUCUAACCCAUAGUUCUCCAUUCUGUGCAUCCAGGAGCCACCUGGGAGCUUUUCAGACCUGCCAAUGCCUAGGCUCACCUCCAGAUUCUGAUAUAAUUGGCCUGUGGGACCUAGGUGUUGAUAAGUUUUCAAACUCUCCUGGUGACUGUGACGUGCACUCAGGGUUGAGAACCACUCCUUUAAUUGCUACCUCGCUAGUUCUAUCUAGUUGAUCAUCUGACCUCUUAUUCCAGCCCACACUGGCCACUCAUCAAAUGAAAAUCCUUGGACCUUAUUACAAGGUGCAGCUCUGCCUCCAUUACAUCAACCGAGUGCCAACUUCCUGCUUUUUUUCUAGAAUCAUAACCCUCUUAUCUUUUCAAUUAACCAGCGCUCCAUGUUCUGUGACUUAACUGGUCUUCUGGUCUCAAAUGAUUCUUUUCAUAAUGUCACCCCUUUCCUUACUACAACUUUUUGUCUGCUGCGAUCAUCCAUUCACCCUAGUACUUUGCAUCCUUUCGUCCACUACUCUUCUGCAUCCUGGACUAUCCUUAUCAUAUUUUCUCCGCUAAGUCCAGCUGACUACUAUUAAAUGAAAUCUAAAAGAGAUAUAAAGCUGAAAAAAAUCUGCCCAUUGUGAUCAUCAAACAGCCAAAUUCUAAACAUGUACAGCAAAGGAAUUGGAAAACACACACACACACACAUACACACACACAAUUUAUAAAGUUGUGGAGUUUUUUUUGGGGGGGGGCAGUACUGGGGAUUGAACUCAGGGGCACUCAACUACUGAGUCACAUCCCCAGCCUUAUUUUGCCUUUUAUUUAGAGACAGGGUCUCACUGAGUUACUUAGCAUCUUGCUUUUGCUGAGCCUGGCUUUGAACUCUACAUCCUCCUAUCUCAGCCUCCUAAGCCACUGGGAUUAUAUGCGUGAGCCUGGAAAUUUACAAAGUUUUUAUAGCAAUAAUAUUACACAUGUAAAAAUGUUUAUAUUUUCUUCAAUGUAACAUUAGCUGUAGUUCCAGUCAGGUACCUUGACAAACAUAAAGAUCAAUCUGAAAAAGAACAAGGCUGAGAACUGUGUAUUAUCUAGGGAAUUAAGUAGUUACCAAAAGACUGGAACUUUAUAAUAGAAAAAUGAAGGCCGAGGGUGCCGCAGUCUGGUUGGGCACAAAAUAACCGAGCCACCACAAAACCUUGUAGAUUCAAACAGCAACUCUUUAUUCCAGAACUCUCACCGACACUCUACCCACACUUCCCGUGAACACCCUGCCUCCACUCGGCUCCGCGCACCAAUCCUCUCAGAACCCCGCGAGAACUCAACGGGAACUCCAAAGGAGCGGGUGCCUGAGGCAGCAGGAUACAACCUAUACCCAGCAGGAUCCACCCUAAACCUGGAGCCGCCCUAUUCCCAGCAGGAUCCACCCUAAACCUGGAGCCACCCUAAUCCCUGAGCAGGUUCACCUUUCAACCCAAAAUGCCAUGCAUCAUUCCUACUUGGCUAUGGCUCUCAGCACGAGGGUGAGUCAUUUUACCAUGAUGAUUAAUAUCAUAAUUUUGUUUCAAAUAAGGAACAUAGAAAGCAUAAAAUGUAUUCUAGGAAAAAUGAAAGACAUUAUUUCAUAGUAAUUAUAAAACAAAACCCUAGGUAAAAAUAAAUGGGUUCAUUGAAGGCUUAGACAAAUUUGAUUAUCAAUUAAGGUAUAAUAAGUUUUGCAGAAUGUAAAAAGAAAUACUAACAUCAGGGAAGAACUUUAUAAUUUAAAGCAUUUUCAUAUGCAUGUUUUUAUUCAAAUGGUUGGGGGGGGGGCGGUUAGAGGUCUCCUGACUAUAUUCUGAACAUUUUGAGGCCAGCAUUGUCAAUGUCAAGUUGCCAUCAGUUUCUUCCUCCUUUAAGAGGCUAUCUGAAAUGUGAUGCUAUACAGACCAGACCUUUAUUCUUAGUGGCAUUUAUAUCCUUAAUAACUAGAGGUAGGUUUAUCAUGAAGCUAAUGAAGCUUUAAGCUUUAACCUCCUUUCUUACAAAGGUUCUUCCCAAAGCUCUAAGUGGGGCCCAGGCAUUGGUUCCAUAUGCACAUGUUUUUAUCAAAUAACAAAAGUAAAUUAUUAGGGCUGGGGUUGUAGCUCAGUGGUAGAGCGCUUGCCUUGCAUUCAUGAGGCCCUGGGUUCGAUCCUUAGCACCACAUAAAAAAUAAAUAAAUAAAAAUAUUGUGUUUAUCUACAACUAAAAAAUUUUUUUAAAUAUAUAUUAUUAUAGUUUGUUGUGAUUUCUUUUUCCAUUCUAAAUAUUUACUUUUUCACUUGCUCUGUAUUAGUAAUUUUGCAUUCUUUUUCUUUGGGAUGGAAUAUGGACCUGCAUAUAACCCAUUAUUUCUAAAUUACAGUGUCCUGCUAAACACUGCGAGACCAGUAACAUCUCUCUUCUUUGUCUUUUACCUUCUCCAUCAACCCUCAGCCUUUGAGGGUUAGCUCUUCCUGGCUCUCUCCACAACCUUUUUUCUCAUUUCUGAUGAUCAUCUCCUCACAGAGAAUAUUCUUUCCAAGGAAGACAGAGAACAUCAGGUAAAGCUUUCCAAUUAUCCCCUUACUCUCUUCUACAUUUUGUAAUAACUGUACAUAUUCAUGGGCUCCAAUGUGGUGUGUUGAUAUUUGCAAUAGAUGUUCUGUGAAGAUCCAAUCUGUGUGUCACUUCCAAUAUUUAUCCUUUCUUGGAAUUACUCUCUGAAUGUUCUUUCCCUGUACUAUUUCCCCUCCUUUUCCUCAACCUAAAAGGAGUUGAAGAACUCAGUUACUAUCUUGAAACUCCAACCUCCUCCUGCUGAGGACCAGCUCUCCCUUCUCUGUCCUCCCCGCAAGCUUGGUCCUCUCAUUCCAGACACCCUCCCUCCUGUUCCUCAGGACCUUUAUGCUGCCUUUGAGCACACUCAGCACUUUCAGCAUAAAUGGUCUCACUUAGUGGUUUCUCUCUUCUAAAUUUCCAUGUCUUUAACCAAAAGAAAAAAUAAAGCAAAUACUGAAAAUGACUUUUAUCCUGAGUUACUUUGGCACAAAUACCCAGAGGGCAGGAAGAAGGUCUAUGGCAUUUGCACCUGGGCCAAUCUUAAGAGCUUCCAAUGCUGCCCCAGCUAUAGAAGUUGCCAAAAUAGACACUGGGAUAUAUAAAAAAGAAGAAAAAAAAGAGCAUCAGUUUUUCCUUCCACAAAGUGUGGUUUAGUGCACCUGGGGAUGUGAUCAUCUGAGGAGGGUUCUGUUUGUACCCAUGCAUGGACCAUAGUACCCAUGUCAGAAGUGCCCCUCGCGGUCAAUUUCAGGAGAUCAACCAUGAAGAUUCAAUUUUGAUCACUCUACACUACUCACACAAUUCAGUAUAGGCAAAAUUUUUAUUUCACAGAGAUUUCAAUAAUGCAUAUUUUGGCUGAAAAAACUGUCAUACUUAGAAGUUUAUCUAGAUAAUACACUUAAAAAGGCUCUGUUGGUCACCAAAUAUUUUAGUUAUCAUAGUUUUUCUAGAUUAAGUCAAUCUAAAUGGUGAUUCUGGGAAAAUGUUUAAAAUAUGUUAUAAUGCUAUGGUCUCUUAAUUUUCUUCCCAGGAAAAAAUACUUCUCACAGUUUAAAUCUGAUUUAAAUAAAGAUUUUAAUAAAGAAGCACUUACUUGAGAGUCUCUGGGUAGGAUCAGCAUUGUGGUUGAAUAGAAACACACAGAGUCUGCCAAGGGAAAAAAAACGAAAGGAUUUGAACUUUGCCUUAGAUUUUGGUCUAGGAAUUUGCAGUACUUUAAAGUUACAUAUUUUGUUCAACCUACAAAAACCCACAAUGUUUGUGGAAACCCAAGAAAGUCAGCUUCUUCUCACUGAAUAUUCUUAGUACAAUAAAAUAUUAAUUCUGUCUUAAAGUUGCAUAUUUUCACUUAUUCAGUAACACACUGUGCUGAUUUCCUGGGUGCAAGUUACUUAAGUUAAAAAUAGAUGGAAUUAUGAGCAAACACACAGCCCUAGAUAUCUCUUCACAUGUAAUUUGCUAGCUCCCCAGUAUUCAUCUGAGUAUUAGUGUUCUGGGGGUUAAAAAACAGUGACAUGUGAAUAAGAACCAUGACCUGUGAAUUCCUGACAGUUCUAACAAAGAAACUUUUAAGUUAACAGUCCUAACAAAGAAACUUUUUAGUUAAAUAUAUGUAUCUUGAUUUUCUUCUACCCACCACUACUACUGGACAAUUAUUUUCAAUUUUGUAUAGAGCACACUCCCUAAAAAAUGCUGAAUCACUAUGAUAUGAGAUAUUUAUGCAGUCUCAUGCUUAGGAUUACCCAACAAAGGAAGCUAGAUAAUGACCAGUGUUGAAUUCAGCCUAUUGCUAACACUGGCUAUCUUCCACUCAUCUCCCAGAAUUUACAUGGGGAAAUGUGAAUUCCCCAUGGAAGAUAGUAGAAAAAGAAAAAGGAGAAAACAAAUAAUGAUGAAAUACAUUCUUCAGUUGAGUUUUAUAAGCUUACAUUGCCUCUGGCAUGAGGAAACAACUGGCCUCAUAAAGUGCAGGUCAGAUUCCCUAUCACAUUAAACCAGGGCUUACAGUGUGUAACACACCUGUAGGGGACAGCCAGGAUAACCAAGCUGAGGACAAUAACCAACAUGACAAAUUGGUAAAUAUUUGUUCUAAAGGAUUAGAAGCAAUUCCAUAUGUUCUGUGUCUCUUUGUCACCCACUGUGAGUUCCCAUCCUUUAUUUCUCUUUCUCCCACUUAGCACAUACGUGGGUUUUAUGCAUCAAUAAAUACAUGACAGAAAGAAAGUGAAUAAUUUGGGAUACAAUGUGUCUAAACUUAGUUCUUUUUAAAAAUAUAUAUUUUUAGUUGUAGAUGGACACAAUAUAUUUAUUUUAUUUAUUUAUUUUAUUUUUAUAUGGUGCUGAGGAUCAAACCCACUGCUUCACAGGUGUGAGGCCAGUACUCUAUCACUAAGCUACAACCUCAGCCCUAAAUUAAAUUCUUUUUUUUUUAAUUUAUUUUUUUGUAGUUGUAGAUGGAGAGAAUACCUUUAUUUUGUUUAUUUUUAUUUGGUGAUAAGGAUGGAACCCAGUACCUCACACAUGCUAGACAAGCACUCUGCCACUGAGCUACAGCCCCAGCCCUCUAAAUUUAAUUCGUAAACACAAGAAUUUUUUAAAAUUUUGAAUGGGGAGAAUUCGCCAAAGGAGAGGCCCCCAAAGAAGACCUAUCUUUAGUGCACCAAAAAUAAUUCAUCCAACAAAUAUUUACUAUCGUUUGCAUCUAAGGCACCUGAGGCUCCUGAGACUCAGUGAUCAGAAGGACAGAGCGGGACACUGAUCUCAUGAAAUUCACAGUCUAGUGGGAAUGAUAGUUUUUAAAGAAAAAAAAGAGCAUAUAAAUGAUAUAAUAAUAAGUGUGAUUACUGAUAAAAUGGAAAUGCUUUGAAGAAGUAGAAACAUGAAAGCCAGAUCAUGCAGGGUUUUGAGACCCAUGACAAAGGUUUUCUGUUUUAUCCUAAGAGAAAUGAGAAUAUUAUAAGAUUUAAAUUAGGGAUAUAAUAUAAUUGAAUUUUCAUUUUUAAAAGACCCGUGAUCUAGAAGUACACAAGAUUGGAGGAGAUGAGCAAAACAAAGUGUGAUGAGAAAACAAAAGUCCAGUUGGGAGGCUACUGCUAAAGUUCAGACAAGAGGUGGUAGCAGCUGAACAAGAAGAGUAGCAGUGGACAUAUGGAGAGGUAGACAGAUCCAAGAUUCAUCUUCAAAGUAGUAUUGACAGGCAUUUUAAAAAGAGACAACAGUUAUGGGUAAUAUUAGCAUUUCUGUCCUGAGCAGUUAGUAGGUGGUGGGGAGAUUGAGAAUUCCAGAUAAAGAGUAGAUUUCAGAAAUAAGAAAAUGAGUUCAAGUUCAGACACGUUAAAACUGAUAUACCUAAAAGGCAUUCAAUAGGGGAUACCAAAUAAAAAGUUAUGUGUGACUUCAGAACUUAGAGGAAGGUCUUUGGUGAAGAAACCAAUCUGUAAGUCAUCGUGUAUACAUAAUGUAUUUUUAUAAACUGCAGGAAUGGACAAGAUUUCAUAGAAAAAGAAUGUGGAAUGACAAAUAAACAAGGGUCCAAGACUGAUCUUUGAAGAACUCAAAUUGCUAAGUAGAGGAAGAUCUCCCAAAGCGGGAUUAGGAGGAUUGGCCGCAUGGGGUAGAAGGAAAAUUAGAUUGUGUGUUAUGUCUUACAGAAACCAGGGAAAGGAAAUUUCAAAUGGAGUGAAUGAUCACACAGGGAAAUAAAGGAAAGGAAAGGAGAACAGAGAGUGUACAUGGAAUUUUGUGGGGUGAAUGGCAUUGAGAUCUUAGAACAAUGUGAACAGCAUAAUAUUUUGGAGAGGGCUUAGUCCUGAAGGGAAGUGAGUUUAUAGAGAACUCUUUCUAGAGUCCUGAGCAUGGACAGGAUUCUGAGGUUCUAUCUUGGGUUAUAUAGCCUACAUUUCUCCAUUUGUGAAAUGAGGAUGUGAAUAUAAUCAUACUCAGAAAACAACUUGAGAAGUGCAUGGUAAAGCCCUAUACUUGGCAUCAGUCCAUUGAAGUUCAAAUGAGAUUUCUUUGCCCAUUUGAGAUCGUGGACAAUAUGCAUUCUUUCAAAGAGUUUAUGAUUUAAUGAGGGAAAUGGAAUAAAACAUAUACAUUUAAGAAAAUAUGAUCAAUUUGGAGAUGAAAGUAUACAUAAUGUGCUAUGGAGGUGAGGAAAAGGCAAUUUACUCCAACCAGGAAAUUUGAGAAACAUUCUAGAGGAAAAGACAUGAACUAAGUUGUGAAUGAGUAAAAUGACCCAGGUGUUGAGAAGAAGCAAAGGUAACACCACAGAGGAACAUGGUGGAGGCCCAGAGAUUGACAAGUAAAAUCCAGUGUAUAUCUUGCUUAUGAUUUGCUCACUGGUUUCUAUAAAUAAUAGUUGGAGCAUGGAAGGUAAGUCCAGAGAGGCAGACGGGCAUAACUCAUGGAGAAUUUGUGUGCCACGUUUAAAGGAUUUGACUUUAUACUCUAGUAACUGGGUUCAAAUCUAUGAUUAACCAGCUAUUAGCUCUAUGACUUUGGCAAAGUUACCUAUAGUUUCUGAGCUUCAAUUUUAUCAGUGAGUUUUUUUUUUAUUUUUUUAAGUUAUAAUUUGGACACAAUACCUUUUAUUUUAUUUAUUUAUUUUUAUGUGGUGCUGAGGAUCGAACCCAGCGCCUUGCAUGUGCUAGGCAAGCGCUCUACUGCUGAGACACAACCACAGCCCCCUCAGUAAGAGUUUUGAGCUUUAAAUUCCUUAAUGAUAACUUGAUACCUACAUGCUAAUAAUAUUUCAUUACCUCUCAAGUGGGAUAAAAAUUUGUUAUCAGAGCAGGAAGCAGUCUUUAGACAAACACCCAGUCUACUGAUGCUGCACGUGAGUCCCAAAGAGAUUGGUAAUUUAUCCAAGUUCAUGCCUUGAAGAAGCAGCAGAAUCUAGAGCAAAUCUAAGUUCUAGUAUCUGAUACUUUGACACAAUUGAAUAUUUUCUUCCUCCGGGAGUUAAAAAAAAAAUGACCAAAGCAAUCAAAUAACAGACACAUGCAGGGUGUGGUGGCACACACCUUUAAUCCCAGUGGUUUGAGAGAUUGAGGCAGGAGGAUUACAAGUUCAAAGCCAGCCUCAGCAACGGCAAGGUGCUUAGCAGCUCAGUGAGACCCUGUCUUUAAAUAAAAUACAGAAUAGGGCUGGGAUGGGGCUCAGUGGCAAAGUACUCCUGAGUUCAAUUCCUAGUGCCUCCCGCCAAAAAAAAAAAAAAGAAAAAGAAAAAGCAGACGACAGAUUGUUCAAUCUCAAAGGACCAGUAAAGAUGCCAUUUUCUGAUAGGGGGCCCCAAACUGAAAGCUGAGAAUUAAGACUGGAAUGAGGGGUGGGGUAUGGUAGCCAUAUCUCCUUCCUGUUGCAAAUCACCGUGAGCUCCCUACUUGAUAUAUAUAUAUAUAUAUAUAUAUAUAUAUAGAGAGAGAGAGAGAGAGAGAGAGAGAGAGAGAGAGAGUAAGGAAAUGAGUUUUGACAGAAGGCAUGCCAGAUUCAUAUUCCUGUUCUGCCAUUUACUAGUUAUGUGACUUCAGUCAACAAUUUCCUAUAUCUGUAAAAUCUGAAAAUAAUGCAUUACUGACUUCUAAUUAGUAUAUGUGAACAUGCUUAACACAUUGUAAAAAACGCAAGGCCCUUAAAUAGUUUUAAGAAUUCUUUCUGACAAGAACACAGAGCAGGCCGCCUCGGACACUGGUUGAGUAUAUUUAAUGACAUAUACCCAGACACUUUAUUGUCAAGGCAUACCAGAGACUCUGGAAGCAUUCGGGACAUUAUUUUAUGGACUAUUUGCUGUCUUCUAGAUUCCAGACUGGCCUUCUAAGUGCUUUACAACUGAUGUCAGACUAGUCAAUGGCUCAGAGACCAAAGAUCAGAAUCUGAAUUGGACUUGGUGGAGCCUUUAGCUAACAGGAAAGGGACAUGUGAUGGGUUAGUGGGGCAGGCGUGGUGUCUCCCAUGGAAAAAAUAAUGCAUCUGAAGGUAAGAAAAUUAAAACUGGGUGAAGCAGAGAAAGAAGCUGUCUACCAAUGUGUCAUCAUCUCCAACACAAAAAUGUUCUGGCUGGGCAGCCAUAAAAUGCUUUCUCUGUAAUUAUUAACAGCUAUUGCCUGAAAAUUAUUUUUGACCUCAUUCCAAUGUAAAAAACAAGACAGGAAGAGUAAGCAUUUUUCUUGAACUUCACAACCUUUAAGGAAGAAAGCAUAACAAUCUGCCUGAAGUAUCCAUAAACUAGUUCUGUAAUCUUCACAUGACUUGGUGUACUCCCCCUCUCUGGUGAAGAAAAGAGAGGUCCAGACAGAACAAGCCAUAGACAGGGUACACGUGAGGACCAUGUUUUGCUGCUGCUUCUUUCUUCUUCUGAAAUUUGCUAAUGUCUUUGUCAUGGUCAUUCAGUAACAAGCAUACUUCCUAUUGAAAUAGCAAGGCAAAACCAAAGGCAACUGAACUCCACAUGCUUUAAGUCUUGAGCCUCACAAAUAUUUCUAUCUACAAAAUUCGCACUAGAUAUCUCUCUUCACCAUUCCCAUUUUAUAGUUUUCUAAAUGCUCAUACCACAAGCUAUGUAAGAAUCAAAACAAAUUUCUUUAACUCCUUUUCCUCUUUUCUGUUUAAGAAAAUCUGAUUAGAAAAGUCCUUUGGGUAUAGACCGAGGAGAGGGAUAGCUGGGUCAAAUGGUUGUUUCAUUUCCAAUUUUCUAAGAAAUCUCCAUACUGCUUUCCAUAUUGGCUGCACCAAUUUGCAGUCCCACCAGCAGUGUAUGAGUGUACCUUUUUCCCCACAUCCUCACCAACACUUAUUGUUGUUUGUAUACAUAAUAGCUGUCAUUCUGACUGGAGUGAGAUGAAAUCUUAGAGUGAUUUUUGAUUUGCAUUUCUCUAAUUGCUAGUGAUGAUGAACACUUUUUCAUGUAUUUGUUGAUUGACUGUAAAUCAUCUUCUGAGAAGUGUCUCUUCAGGUCCUUGGCCCAUUUAUUGAUUGAGUUAUUUGAGGGUUUUUGUUGUUGUUGUUGUUGUUGUUGUUUUGGUGUCUAGUUUUUGAGUUCUUUAGAUACCCUAGAGGUUAGUGCUCUGUCUGAUGUGUGAGGGGUAAAGAUUUGCUCCCAAGAUGUAGGCUCUCUGUUCACCUCACAGAUUGUUUUUUUGCUGAGAAGAAACUUUUUAGUUUGAGUCCAUCCCAUUUAUUGAUUCUUGAUUUUAAUUCUUGUGCCACAGGAAUCUUAUUAAGGAAGUUGGGGCCUAAUCCCACGUUUUUCUUCUAUUAUACGCAGGGUCUCUGGUUGUAUUCCUAAGUCCUUGAUCCAUUUUGAGUUGAGUUUUGUGCAUGGUGAGACAUAAGGGUUUAAUUUCAUUAUUAAAAACAGCAUACUACAGGAACACAGCCACAUCAAUGUUUACAGCAGCACAAUUCACAAUACCUAAAUUGUGGAACCAACCUAGAUGCCCUUCAAUAGAUGAAUGGAUAAAAAAAAGUGGCAUAUAUACACAAUGGAAUAUUACUCAGCAAUAAAAGAGAAUAAAAUCGUGGCAUUUGCAGGUAAAUGGAGGGCGUUGGAGAAGAUAAUGCUAAAUGAAGUUAGCAAUCCCCCCAAAAACAAAUGCAGAAUGUUUUCUUUGAUAUAAGGGAGCUGAUUCAUAGUGGGAUAGGAAGGGGCAUAUGGGAGGAAUAGAGGAACUCUAGAUAGGGCAGAGGGGUGGGAGGGGAAGGGAGGGGGCAUGGGGUAAUUAAUGAUAGUUGAAUGUGAUGAUCAUUAUUAUCCAAAGUACAUGUAUAAGGACACGAGAAAAAAAGCAAAGAAAUGAUAAAUGGUUAAGGAUAUAGAAAUUUGAAUUUACCUGGAUUUGAGCAUUAAAAAUUGAAUACAUGUAUCAGAACAUUGAACUCCAUAAAUAUGUAUAAUUAUCAUGUCAAUAAAAAUGAAAAAUAAACAAAAAUCAUACUGUCAAAAAAUUUUUAAAAAUUAGAAAAAAAAAACCAGUUGAGUUUCAUUCAUUUUCUGACCAUUUAUUGAACACCUGUGAAGGAUCAGGUGCUCUGCUCACUCCAUGAGACACAAAAAUAAUAAGAGGUAGAUGCUGCCAUUAGGGAAUUCUCAGUCUAAAAGGAAGGAAAUAUGAAGACUAGUCAUUGCAAUGGGACAAGUACAAUAAAAAAGGGAAGAAUGGCAUUAGGAAGGACUCAGUUUCCCUUGGACAAACCAAGUAAAUAUUCAUGAGUGAGAGCUGUUUGAAUGGAGUCAAGAGUGAGGAACUAGAUUUUGCCAGAUUAACCAUGGACAAAAGGGCAUAAUGACAAAUCUAGCAACACAUCAGCAGGAAGUUAUGAAAGGAUGUGGCAAAUUUGUAUCUGCCAAUCAUUUAUUAUUGAUGGAAUGAGGGUUCAAUAGAAUGGAGUACAGUUAGGGAUCUGAGGCCAGACAAGGGGUCAGAGGCCAAAUUAUAGUUAUUAUACAAUGAUAACUUUAUACUGAAGGUAAUAGAUAUCCAUUAAAAGAUAUAAGUCCACCAGGCUUGGUGGUACAUGCCUAUAAUCCCAGUGGCUCAGGAGACUGAGGCUGGAGAAUUGAAAGUUCAAAGCCAACUUCAGCAACUUAAUGAGGCCCUAAGCAACUCAGUGAGACUCUUGUCUCUAAAUAAAAUACAAAAAGGGCUGGGGAUAUGGCUUAGUGGUUAAGGGCCCCUGGGCUCAAUCUCCGAAACCAAAAAAAAAAAAAAAGUUAUAAGUCCAAGAAGUGAAUAGCUAGGUUGAUACUUUAUAAAUCCCUCCACAGUAUGAAGAAGGGAUUAGAGAGGUGGAGCAUCAAUGCAGGUUUUCCAAUAAUGUCAUCGUACUGAUUGCAAGUGAUGGCAGGAACCUGAAUUGGAGGAAUGGCAAUCGGAAGGGGAGAAGAGGCAUACUUGAGAAAUAUUUAAUAUUAGACAACUAUUAAUUAUGUAGAGUAAGGGUAAGGGGGAAGUAGUGGGAGAUAAAUACAAAUUUGGGGCUUUAGUUUCUGGUCAGGUGGUGGUGAAACAUGAAAGGAUAUAAAAGGGAAGAUCAGUUUGAACUUCCUGCUGUACAUCGGUCUCUAAUAAGUAUUUAGAUAUACAUAUUGAUCUUGGGCUGAAGUAGAGAAAGAACAUGAAAAUCAACACAAACCCAAAGGCUAAGAAGGCAACUAAAAUAUCGUGCACAACACUCUUCCUCUAGAAGUAGAUUUGCUUAAGAAAUCAAAUAGGAACUUGAGUGGUUUAAAAAGUGUUUUCACUUUAUUAAAAAAAGGAACAGAAGAAGAUUGGAAACAAAAUUGAGGAAGACAGGCUGAUUAACCUGGAGAAUGAGACAGAUUUCCUAAAACCAAAGAUUAAGAUCUUAGUUGGUACAAGGAAAAUUAAAUGUUACGCUGAAGGCCAGGAAAGACUUACAUGGGAAGGAAAGGAUACAACCACAUCUACCUGCUCCUUCUGGUUGAAUUAGGGAGCUUAGAAAAGGAACCAUGAAAGGGUCAGUCGUCAUUAAAUAAGAAAUUGGGACCUCCUAUAACAGAGGAAAAGAGACACAAUCUGGUAGGACAGAAAACUACUGAGGAAGCAUUUUUUUUAAAGCCACAAAUAGAGAAAGAAAGUCAAAUGGGUCAACUCAAGUACUGAGAGAGAUAUACAAAGUGAUUUUGGAAUAUCUGGAUGGUUAUAAAGGGGGAAGAUGAGGAAUAUCAGCCUAAAAUGCACAGAGCAUUAUUGCACAGCUUAGCAGAAAUAAUGAAUAUGAAGAAACCAUCAGCAAGCAUGAAUUAGAAAAAAAUAUUUUUAGGACAAGGGAAAUAUAACUGAUUGGUAGUGAUAAAAGCCACACAAGCAGACAGAAAGGAGCUGAAUUAACAUUAAGAUGGAGGGUUACCUCUGUCUUCAGACACUGAGGGAGUCACAAAAUAACCUAGUUUCCAAAGUGUGGUUCAUCCCUCAUGAGGCCCAUACUUUGGGCUAUUUUUGUAUUUCCAUGAAAUUUCUAUCGCCUUAUUUCUACAAUUAUCUUUACAACAAAUCUCCUCGGUUCUUGACGGAAUCUAAGAUAAAAUAUUAUCUCUCUGAGAAACAAAAUUGCCCAGCACAUCUCGCCAACAUUUUUAAAAAGUGAAUGGAUGGAGUCCUGUAGAUACACAACACCCAACCAGGAGCAGGGAGAUUACUACCCUGUUUGUUCUGGAUGUUGUCUCCUUUAAUUGGAGGCCUCGUCACACCAGUGCUUGUAUGAACCUCACAGACUUCUAUUCUUUCCUUAUUUAUUUGUUCACCAUAAAUUUAUUGGACACUUCUUGUGUGUCAGGCACCAUUCACAACAGAGGAAAUGCAAAAGUAAAGAGUUCCUGCCCUCAGGGAGCUCAUCAUCCAGUGGGGGAGACAGACACUGAGAACACCUGGGGAAACAUCUUUGGUUAGCAGGAGUGAAGAGAUGGUCCCAGAACCCUUCAUGCUCACUGAAGGUCCCCUCCUCGUCUGCUCUCUUUCAUUGGUGGGAAAAGAAAGGGGCCUCCAGAGCUCCCCUCCCAAGAGAUUCAGUCUUUCUACCACUAUCAAUAUUUUACCCCUGUUUAUUUCAGUCAGCAUAAAAAGCUUAGGCCUCUUAUGAGAUUCCAUAAACACAAACCCUCAAGGCUGUGACUUGAACUCACACCCCCAUCAUCAACUCCUCCAACCCAUUCACUGUGCCUUAAAAUACUUAAUAUCUUGUGUUCCAACUGAAAGUCACGUCUUCCCUGAGGACUCGUUUCCUCUCUGGAUGUCUCACAUGUUGUCUGUUUAUCUCAGGACCGCUCUAUCUCUUGGCCUGCAAGUAAGAAGUGUGGUCUCCUUGCUCCUCUUCUAAAUGUUUUUCUUCCUUUCCCUCUCACCUCUACACAAACAUAUAACCUAGGUUAUGUGUAAGGGGUUAUAUGAGCCACUAACAUAGGUUAUAUCACAUCCUUCACUGAAAUUGCCCAAGUAUUUCUCCCUCUCUCAGCUUUGAACCUCAUGUCACCAGACUAUCCAUUACUUUCCACAUGGGAGUUAUAUACUCAUCUGCCCCUCUCUCCCCACCCCUUUAAAUUUCUUCCAGAACUUUUGCCCCAUUCCACUCCUGCCAGUCUUGUCUAAUGACCUAAUUUCCCCUCUUCAGUGAAAAGAUAGAGGCAAUCAGAAAAAUACUUAAGUUCUUCCUGCCUAAUUUUAUCUGAACCACAUAAACUAUCUGUGAUCUUAUCUAAAUCUGCUUGAGUGUCUGCACAGGGUCUGUGCUCCAGAAAUUCUUCCAUUUCUCUCCUAUAGCAUUUAUUCUGGUGGUACUUCUCAACAGCUUAUAAAUAUGGUACUUAUUUUCUUAUCUAAAACCCUCUUGACCCUACUUCUCCCUCUAGCUGCUUCCCUAUUUCUCCAUUCUCCUUUACACCACAUGUCACAAUUCCUCUUUCUUAACCCUAUUACAGCCAAAGUUUUGCUCCCCAAAUUCCAUGACAACAGCCCUUUUCAAGGUCACCAAUGAUCCCAUACUGUGAAAUCCAGUGAUCCAUUCAUCCUCAUUUUAUUUAUCAUCCAUAUUUGGCACAGUUAAUUACUACCUAUUACUUAUAACAUUUUCUUUACUUGACUUAGAGGACACCACUCUGGGGUGUAGGUUUUCCUCCUUAUUCUCUUAUCCUUUUCUGUGAUUCUUUCUUAACUUCCUCAUCUCUAAAUGCUCAAGUCACCUUGAACCAAUUAUCUUCUCUCAUUCACACACUCUCUGGGUGAUCUUAUCUAAUCUUACAGCCAACGGUAUUUAUGCACAAAUGACUCACAAAUUCAAAUCUGUAGCUCAGACCUAGGACAAGCAACUCAUCCCAGUUUGACUAGAGUUUUGUUAGUUUUAGUACUGCCUGGGAAACUGGUUUCCUGGCAAACCAGGAGAAUUGGUCACCCUACCCUGACUUUGUUCCCAAACUCUAGCUUCACAGAUCCAACUAUCUGUUCUCUGAUUCACUUAGUAAGUAAUAGCCAAACCUCAGGCUGACCCCUGGGCUUUCCUCCUAAAUAUGUUUCUCUCAUAGACUUGCUUCUAUCAAUAAAUAGAUUCCAGUUUUUAAUUACUCACAGCAUGAACUUGAAGUAAUCCUUGAUUUUUUUCUUUCUCUUGAAAGACACACCCAAUCUGCCAAUAUUUUGUUGUCAUUCCUUCAAAAUUAUCCAGAAUCUGAAUACUUCUACUGUUACCAUCUUGAUCAAACGACCAUUAUGUCUUGCCUGGAUUAGUGCAGACAAGUUCCUAAUUGAUAUCUCUCAUUCUACUCUCCAACAUCUACAAUUUAUUCCCCAUACAGCUACCAUCUUAAUCCCAUAAAAAACAUAGAUUAUAUCACAUCCUUCACUGAACUUACACAAUUAUUUCCCAGUGACUGAAAGACAAAGAUCUUGACAUUGAUCUUCCUGGCCCUACAUUACCUGGUCCCUUUUUCUGUCCUCAUCUCCUAUAGUUUUCCUUCCCAUUUACUCUGUGCCAAUCAUGAUAGCCUUCUAGUUGCUAUUUAAACAUGGAGAAUACACUUCUAUCUCAAGGUUUUUGCCCUGACUCUUUCCUCUAUUUGGAUCAGUCUGCCUACAGGUAUUUGCAAUGCUCACCUUCUGAUCUAGUUCGUAUGUUACUUUUAUCAGUUCUUCCCUACUCAAAAUAGCAUAUGCUUGUGUUCAUACAUAGGCACUUCCUGUCUUCUUUCCCACAUGUAUUUUUCUCUGUAGCACUUGUGUAUUUGAAUAUUAUCUAUCUUCUCCAUUGCUUAUCCUUAGAAGGGAACUUUUACUAUUUUACUCACCACUGUAUCCCCAACAUUUAUAAAAGAGCCCAGCACAUAAUAUGCAGCAAAUAUUUGUUAUAUAAACCAUUAACUGGAUUAUGAAUUAAGAUGAGAGCUCCAAAACAAGUAAAUACUUCUAUAAGAACAUGAAACUCAGUUCUUAGUUUAGAGAGUCAGGGAGGGCUUCCAUCUGGAAACAAUAAUUUGUUUUGUCCUAUUUUGUUUUGUUUGCAGUGCUAAGGAUUAAACCCAGGACUCAUGCAUGCCAGGCAAACAUACUACCACUGAUCCAUAUCCCCAGCCCUAGAAAUGCUAAUUUAAUGGAGAUCUGAAGGAUGAGCAUGCAUUAAGCAAAUGGAGAGAAGGAAACAUUUCAGACAGAAGGGACAACAUAUGCCAAGGCUUUGUGAUGGGAAACUCCACAGUGUAUUCAAGGAAUUAAAAGAAAGUCCAUACAUUGGAAUGAAGAGAGGAAGAAACAAAUCAUUAAGGGACAAGGCUGGGAAGGGAAACAGGUAUGAUUUUGGUUUAUAUAUGAGAGGAAUAAAAGACAUUAAAGAAACGUAAUGUGGGAGUGGAUGUGUGCAUAACCCAGUCAUAUUUGUGUUUUGAAAGUAUCACUCAGGCUGUGUGUUGAGUGGGUUGGAGAAGGCCAGAGGAGAAAUAAGGAGAUCAGUUACACCACAGCAAUAGUACAGGUGAGAAAUAAGGAUUCCAUGGGCUGAUAAGUAAUGGUGAAGGUGAAAGAGUGACAAAUUCUGAAGUUCUAGAUGUUCAAAUGGAAUGAUAUAGGAAGAAUUAGAGAUGGUAGUACAAAGGUGAGAGAGAAGGAGAUCUCAAGAUGACUCCUAAAUUUACUAACAAAUAUAUAUCAGAAAUAUUCCCUGAUUGGGAGAUAUUGGAAGAAAAAUGAGCUUGGAAGGAAUGAUUUAAGAGUACAAUAAUGGACAUGUUGAGUCUGAGGAGACUUUUAGACAUCACCAACUCCAAGAAUAUGAGUUGCUUGAACUAUUAGACAUGCAGAACUAAAGCUAUGGGUGUUAGUUUGGGUUGGAGAUGUAUAUUUGGGAGUUAUUAUGAUGAAAAUUAUAAUGAAGGCUUGAGACUGAAGAGAUGGUCAGAUUUUGCAUGAGCUCCCAUUAAGCCAUAUCGUUGCAAUUCUGUACAAUUGAGUAGAUAAAUUUUAAGACAAAAGUACAUGAUUAUAAUUUUAUUCUUAUUCAAUUUCAUCAUAUUAGAGAGGAAAAGAAUGUCAUCUUUUUAAAGAUUUUCAUUUUCCUUUACUUUCCUUCUCCUAUUUCCAGUCUCAUAUCUUCUGAGAGAAACAGAUCAUCAUGUCACGAACCCCUCUAACUCUCCAAUAAAAACAACAUGAAAUCAACCAAGAUAGAGAAUGUGUCCUUAAUGCCCCACUUGGGACCUCUCUCCAGAGGAACAUUGAUAGAGGCAAGCCUAUUUCAGGUCAGUGAUAUCAACAGUUAAAGUACAUCCAGCUUCACUAUUCAACAGUCCAUCUUACCUCCUAAGGGCUGCAAAAAGAACUUGUAAAAUUGCUUAUGUCAGGAAAUUUGAGAAACAUGACAAGUAUACUACUUAAAUCCUGUGCUCAAAUCAUAGGUUUUUAAAAAAGUUUUUUUUACUGUUUUAAUUAGUUAACAUGACAUUUAUGCACUUUGAUGUAUCAUAUAUAGAUGGGAUAUGAUUUCUCAUUUCUUUGAGUGUACAUGUUAUAGAAUCAUAUUGGUCAUGCAGUCACAUAUAUACAUCAAAUCAUAGUUUUAUUACUUACCUGGCUUGUGACUUUGGGUAAGUUGCUUAAACUCUCUGGUUUAUAGUUUCCAUUUGUAUUUGUAAAAUAUCUUCCCAAUAAAUUUAUAGAAAGGAUUAAAUGAAAUGAUAUAUGAAAAAUAUCUGGC